This 70-nucleotide transfer RNA is filed under the name Loxodonta africana (African savanna elephant). It matches the Rfam family "tRNA". Rfam says of the family: Transfer RNA (tRNA) molecules are approximately 80 nucleotides in length. Their secondary structure includes four short double-helical elements and three loops (D, anti-codon, and T loops). Further hydrogen bonds mediate the characteristic L-shaped molecular structure. tRNAs have two regions of fundamental functional importance: the anti-codon, which is responsible for specific mRNA codon recognition, and the 3' end, to which the tRNAs corresponding amino acid is attached (by aminoacyl-tRNA synthetases). tRNAs cope with the degeneracy of the genetic code in two manners: having more than one tRNA (with a specific anti-codon) for a particular amino acid; and 'wobble' base-pairing, i.e. permitting non-standard base-pairing at the 3rd anti-codon position. The record is from Rfam by way of RNAcentral. Lineage: Eukaryota; Metazoa; Chordata; Mammalia; Proboscidea; Elephantidae.
ACAUUGGUGGUUCAGUGGUAAGAUUCUGCCUUCCAUGCAGGGGACCAGGGUUCGAGUCCCAGCCAAUGGA